This 452-nucleotide ribosomal RNA is filed under the name uncultured bacterium. RNAcentral's name for it is "partial 16S ribosomal RNA". It matches the Rfam family "Bacterial small subunit ribosomal RNA", at positions 328 to 795 of the family's 1533-position model. The record is from RNAcentral.
CGGCCAGACUCCUACGGGAGGCAGCAGUGGGGAAUAUUGCACAAUGGGCGAAAGCCUGAUGCAGCAACGCCGCGUGAGCGAUGAAGGCCUUCGGGUCGUAAAGCUCUGUCCUCAAGGAAGAUAAUGACGGUACUUGAGGAGGAAGCCCCGGCUAACUACGUGCCAGCAGCCGCGGUCAUACGUAGGAUCCGAGCAUUAUCCGGAGUGACUGGGUGUAAAGAGUUGCGUAGGUGGCAUAAUAAGUAGCUAGUGAAAUCUGGUGGCUCAACCAUUCAGACUAUUAGCUAAACUGUUAAGCUCGAGACCGUUAGGGGUAACUGGAAUUUCUAGUGUAGGGUUGAAAUCCGUAGAUAUUAGAAGGAACACCAAUAGCGUAGGCAGGUUACUGGGACGGUUCUGACACUAAGGCACGAAAGCGUAGGGAGCAAACGGGAUUAGAUACCCCAGUAUUA